Long non-coding RNA from Micropterus salmoides (largemouth bass), 1429 nucleotides. RefSeq lists it as uncharacterized. NCBI's taxonomy places the organism in Eukaryota, Metazoa, Chordata, Actinopteri, Centrarchiformes, Centrarchidae. The record is from RefSeq and is a predicted model, not a curated record. The transcript has 3 exons.
GAAUGCCUGCUUUUCUCCCAACUAAUGGCGUCUCUUUGAGCUAGCAGUUAGCCCGCUAGCUACGCCGAAGAUCGUCUACACUCGGGAGGAUGGAUCACUUCGGUUUCUUAAGACCAGUCCAAAAUGAUGUGACUUCAUCGGGCUUUCUUUGAAGCUGAAACAACUCUGGAGUCUUCAGUCCGGACUGCAGAUCCAACACUGGUGCUCUGAACUCGCAGCAGAGUGGGAGCUCGGCGCUGCUUCCGCCUCUCUGCAGCGUCACAUGAUGAAAGAGUCGGCUCGCUGUCACAACCUCAGAGCUGCAGGGGGUUUCUGAUGUUGGCACAUCAAACAACAAACGGCCCAGAAAAUCAUUUUAGUACUAUUACACACAGUUUUUUUGUGUAUUUCUUUGACUUCCUUCCCCAGAAUUUUUAAGGGACAGGGGUAAGAGGUUCCCUGAGUUCCCUGAUGUGAGCAAACGUCGUGACAGUACCACCACUCGACCACUAGAGGUCAGAGUCUGACUGAAAAUGGAGCAGCAGGGAAACUUUCAAAUGCACAAAGAAGAAUCAGUGCAACUGAUGUGGAACCAGGUCUAAUGGUAAUCAUAUAAAUGAAUGUAUCAAAUUAUUUUAUUUCUGAAAUUCUUUAAACAUUUAAGUUUUGUAAGAUAAGGUGUCAUACUUACAUAUAUUACCAAUUCCACAUAGUUCUUACGCUUAUGGCCUUUGAUUGCUUUCACAUUUGUGAUUAAAAGUGAGAUUCUACACGUUUAGAAGAGAGCUGAUGCAUAAAAUUGUCCUUACAGAGAUAAAUAUAAAGUUGUAUUGAAUUUAAUUGAUCUUUCAGGAACCGUACACAAGAGUUAAAUGACAGCCGGCGAGCUCAACUUUCUCUGUGGUUAAUGUUUGUUUAAACAUGAUGGAAAUAUAUUUGCAUCUCAACGGUCACAUUAUUAGUUUAUUUUUAUAUUUUGUUAAUUUUAUAGUUAUAUAUUUAUGCAAAGCAUCUCCCCCUGUUAUAUGUCUGACCAACACAAAUCUAUUUAUACAUUUUUAAAUCUAUUUUUUGUCGACUGUACUUUAAUGUCUAGCAACUUAGCACUGCUGCAAAUUCCUCAUACGUGUAAAAUACUAAUUGGUAAUAAAACUCUUACUGAUUCUGAUUUAUUUAAAUUUAAUUUUUGUUUAAUAAAAAUAAUUUGUCACAUUUUAAAAUGUAAAGAAAAUGCUUUCGAACUUGUGUUUGCUUUUGCCGAAUUCUUGUUUUUCCAUUUCUAGUUUUUUAAUCUCUAUAUCGUUUUUUGAUCAUUUCAGCAUCUGUAGGUUUGGAGCUAGCUGUUUCCCCCUGCUUCCAGUCUUUAUGCUAAGCUAAGCUAACAUCAUACAUGAGAGUGACAUCUGAACUAUUGCUUUAAAUAAACAGAGCCUGAGAGCCAGAGACUGCU